RNAcentral lists this ribosomal RNA (96 nucleotides) under Gammaproteobacteria bacterium. RNAcentral's name for it is "partial 16S ribosomal RNA". It matches the Rfam family "Bacterial small subunit ribosomal RNA", at positions 1 to 92 of the family's 1533-position model. The record is from RNAcentral. Lineage: Bacteria; Pseudomonadati; Pseudomonadota; Gammaproteobacteria.
AUUAAACUGAAGAGUUUGAUCAUGGCUCAGAUUGAACGCUGGCGGUAUGCUUAACACAUGCAAGUCGAACGGUAACAGCAAGAGCUUGCUCUUGGC